Regulatory RNA element from Yersinia pestis CO92, 123 nucleotides. It matches the Rfam family "Phenylalanine leader peptide". The record is from Rfam. NCBI's taxonomy places the organism in Bacteria, Pseudomonadati, Pseudomonadota, Gammaproteobacteria, Enterobacterales, Yersiniaceae.
UAUGAUGCAUACAGUUAUUUUUCGCUUCUUUUUUUACUUUAGCGCCUGAUUACAGGAGGCUUGCGCGUAAGAAUAGAAACGAAAAAUAGCGCCGAAGCCUCCCAUCGUGGAGGCUUUUUUGUU